Molecule: non-coding RNA, 73 nt
Organism: Bos taurus (domestic cattle)
Lineage: Eukaryota; Metazoa; Chordata; Mammalia; Artiodactyla; Bovidae
Source: Rfam
UCCCUUGUGGUCUAGUGGUUAAGACUCCAUGCUUUCAAUGCAGGGGACACAGGUUUAAUCCCUGGCCAGGGAA